AGCGAACGCUGGCGGCAGGCCUAACACAUGCAAGUCGAACGAACCUUUCGGGGUUAGUGGCGGACGGGUGAGUAACACGUGGGAACGUGCCUUUAGGUUCGGAAUAACUCAGGGAAACUUGUGCUAAUACCGAAUGUGCCCUUCGGGGGAAAGAUUUAUCGCCUUUCGAGCGGCCCGCGUCUGAUUAGCUAGUUGGUUGAGGUAAUGGCUCACCAAGGCGACGAUCAGUAGCUGGUCUGAGAGGAUGAUCAGCCACAUUGGGACUGAGACACGGCCCAAACUCGGACGGGAGGCAGCAGUGGGGAAUCUUGCGCAGUGGGCGAAAGCCUGACGCAGCCAUGCCGCGUGAAUGAUGAAGGGGUUAGGAUUGUAAAAUUCUUUCGACGGGGACGAUAAUGACGGUACCCGAAGAAGAAGCCCCGGCUAACUUCGU
Molecule: ribosomal RNA, 433 nt
Filed under: uncultured bacterium
Lineage: Bacteria
Description: partial 16S ribosomal RNA
Rfam family: Bacterial small subunit ribosomal RNA
Source: RNAcentral